This 1424-nucleotide long non-coding RNA is filed under the name Homo sapiens (human). RNAcentral's name for it is "long intergenic non-protein coding RNA 1116". The record is from RNAcentral. Lineage: Eukaryota; Metazoa; Chordata; Mammalia; Primates; Hominidae.
GCGAGCCACGGGCCUCGCUGCGGGUUCAAGUGCGUCCGGGUUUGGACGUCGCGGCUCCAGGAGUGUGCUCUCUCUCCUGCCCAUCCCCUCCCCGGAGUUCAGCGCAUCCGGGGCCCCGGGGACCCCUCUUCCCGGCCCUCCUGGCCGCGCUGGCCCGCCCGCAUGGGGCCGAGGUUCCUGGCCGACGCGCGAGGGCGCGGGCGGGUACCGGGUUCCCGUUUUUCCCAGGCCCCGAUCCCCGCCCACGCACGAGGCCCCCGGCCCACGCACGAGGCGCCCACGCCCAUCGUGGAGGCUCCGCCUGGAAAAGAAGUCCGACUUCCUCUCCAAGCUGCUCCGAGGGGAAUGGGGAAUCGGCAGGAAAUGACCCGAACUGCCAGCCUGCGCCUUUGCAGCCGGCCCUCGCUUUGCUGAAGACGAGCAGCUCCCACCAAAGUCUUGCCUCCCCUUACCCCGAAAGCCCCGCUCAGUUCAAUAUUUCAAGUGAAAAUCUGCCUGUUCGAAAAGAAAAUAUUCACAAAUGAGCAGUGUAUUAGAAGACAACUGAAUUGCUUCUAAGAAUGGGUCUCACUCUGCCAUCACCCAGGCUGGAGUGUGGUGGCACCAUCAUGGCUCACUGCAGCCUUGAACUCCUGAGCUCAAGUCAUCCUCCCACCUCAGCCUUCCGAGUAGCUGGAACUGCAGGUGUGAGCCACCAUGCCUGGCUGAUUUGUCUUUUUAAAUUUUUUAUAGAGACCGAGUCUCAACUAUAUUGUCCAGGCUGGAAAAGAACUUCUUUCCCUCCAAGUGAUAACCUUUUCCAGACAAGUCAGCUUAAAAACUGACCCAAAGGCCCUGAAGUACACAGUUUUCUUGGAGAAAGAAAAAAAUAAGUGAAAAGGACUUGCUGACUUGCUAAUUCAUUUUGGGGCCUGUGGGUAACAUCAGAAUGGCAAAGCACUUGGGGCUUUUUUCUAAUUUGUAUUUUUUUAAUCUUCUGAGAAAUGACUUUUAUAUGCCAAGAUUCAUUCCAUGAUUAGUUUUUAUGACCAAGUUAUGAACGCUUUUGAAUAUGGGGACCUAGAAUAGAAAUGCUAACCUACCUGCAAGGAGAGCUCUGUGAUUGGCAUCCCCAUCAUGCUGUAACUGACACAAAAUAAACUUAGGGUAAUUGCCGCAUAGUGUAACUUUAAUGUGUGAGCAUACUGUAACAUCUGACAAGCUUCUUGAUCUAGAUCAGCAAUGUGUAACCCAUUCAUUGUUGUCACUCUCAACAAGGCCUUAUGGUCAAACAUCAUCACUCUCACUAAAGAGAUAGUUUACUGAAAUAUACUGAGAUUUUGAAACUGGAGUCAAGAGGUAGCACACUGUUUUAUGUUGAUCCAUUUAAUGGUCCUUGACAGCCAAUAAAAAGACACUGGAAGAAUACGUGAAUGCAGUAAUUG